AGGGUGUGAAAGAAAGCGUCCUUGAAUGUUGUAGUAGGAGAUAGACAACUUGUAGAGUUAUAACUAUAGUUGUCAUGGAAAUCAUUUCCAUAAUUACGAUAACAAAAACUUUGAAUGUUGUCAUAUUUGGAGAUAGACGGGAGAACAAGAGAACAAGAUUUGAAAAAAAAUGAGACAAAAGGAAAUCUCAAAAAACAAAUUUGAUUUUUCAGAGGAAACAAAAUUUGUAGGACCCUUGAUGAACACAACCUAGCCACUGAAGAAGAUGAUUUUUGUACUUCCUCCCUCGUCAAAUCAAUUUUCUUCAUAAACAACCUAACCAAUGAAGAGGAAACAAAUUUGUAUUUUC
Molecule: long non-coding RNA, 349 nt
Filed under: Vigna radiata
Lineage: Eukaryota; Viridiplantae; Streptophyta; Magnoliopsida; Fabales; Fabaceae
Description: long non-coding RNA (VRAD_LNC003905)
Source: RNAcentral